UGGAGAUGGCAUCUCUGCUUCCUUACGUACACUGAGAACAUUUCCUCUUUAGCUGUAUUUGUCUUUUUCAUCACACAGCAAAUCCUCAAGUCAAACCUGUUAUCUGGAAGAGAAUUUCCUGUAAAGGCUGAGGAGAGAGAGAAAGAGUGAAGAGCAGAAAAAUGUUCUUCACCAUCAGCAGAGCUUUGACAUAGCAGCAGAAAAGGACUGUUGCUGUUGCAAGUGCGUUGGCCCGGAAGGAUGAGCACAAUGUAGGUGUGCCCUGGCAGCCAAGGGGCAAACCUCAUUUUGGGAUGCAUUAAACACAGCAUAGCCAGC
This 318-nucleotide long non-coding RNA is filed under the name Anser brachyrhynchus (Pink-footed goose). Its description in RNAcentral is "lncRNA (ENSABRG00000009261.1)". The record is from RNAcentral. Lineage: Eukaryota; Metazoa; Chordata; Aves; Anseriformes; Anatidae.